This 394-nucleotide long non-coding RNA is filed under the name Gallus gallus (chicken). Lineage: Eukaryota; Metazoa; Chordata; Aves; Galliformes; Phasianidae. The record is from RNAcentral.
CUAUAACUUCAAUUUCGUGUUCUUUAUUCUUCAUUUCUACGGCAAACUGUUCUUUUAUAAUCGUCUCAAUCUUCUGCACAGCAAUAUCUCGAGCUGACUGCUCGGCGGCGCGGUGCCGUUUGCUGGGCGGCGCCACCGCGAUCUCCUCGUAGUCGGGGUCCUUCUCGGCGAGGGCUCUCCUCACGCCGGACAUGGUGGUGGUAGUGGUGACGGCACCGCCCCGCGCGGGCCGGCGGAGGGGCGCGGCCUUUGUUCCACCUCGCGCGGAGCUCCGGGCGCCGCCGCUCCCCUCAGGCCGCGGGCGGUGCGGGGCGGGGCCGUGUCCACGUGCACGCCGCUCCCCUCCCCCCGCCGCGCGCACAAAGCCGCCGCCGCGCUCCUUCGCGCCUUCCCC